UUUUCAGGUUAUUGGUGUGACCUUAAACACGAAGGCCUCCACCUCUCUCUCCUCCACUGCAGGUCACUGUCAGUUUGAGAACCUGUGAAAGACGUUAACUAGCUUACGGUUUUGAGACUCCGACGCCUGUUAACCCAGAGGAGCAACAACAGCAAUAAGUGAAGAAAGCGCUUUUCAAGUACAACAAAGCGGAUAUAAGUCCUGAAAAACUUCAGCAGCUAGGCUUCUUAGUGGACGUGGCUGUCAUGAAGAAAAAUGAGUUUUCAAGCAGAAAGAUGCUACGGACAUCUGCACUUCGUGAAAGCAGCCUUUCAUAUCUGGAUGCACCACAAGGGAGCAGCAGUGUUAAAGGAGAGAAGUCACCAGUGUUGCAUUAAGUUCCCUCAGAAGAUCCUGCUUGUUUGCUUCAGAUUGUGAAUGUGAGGAGACACCAGCUCAAGAAUGAGAAGCACCUUUAUUCUGCGGUUUCCAGGAAAAGUGUUGGGGUUCUCAAGGGGACAGACAUUCCAGAGCUGCUGGUGGUGUGUGCGGCUAGAGCCAUGAUUCAGAACUGUCAGACGAAGAGGAUGCAUCAAUCUAACUCAACACCAUCAGCUCAUCUGCCUUCCAG
This is a long non-coding RNA of Cheilinus undulatus (humphead wrasse), 610 nucleotides long. RefSeq lists it as uncharacterized. The record is from RefSeq and is a predicted model, not a curated record. The transcript has 4 exons. NCBI's taxonomy places the organism in Eukaryota, Metazoa, Chordata, Actinopteri, Labriformes, Labridae.